RNAcentral lists this ribosomal RNA (559 nucleotides) under fungal endophyte sp. P713B. Its description in RNAcentral is "eukaryotic LSU rRNA". The stretch from base 193 to 346 matches the Rfam family "5.8S ribosomal RNA". The record is from RNAcentral. Lineage: Eukaryota; Fungi.
CUGCGGAGGGAUCAUUGCUGGAACGCGCUUCGGCGCACCCAGAAACCCUUUGUGAACUUAUACCUAUCUGUUGCCUCGGCGCAGGCCGGCUUCUUCACUGAAGCCCCCUGGAAACAGGGAGCAGCCCGCCGGCGGCCAACUAAACUCUUGUUUCUAUAGUGAAUCUCUGAGUAAAAAACAUAAAUGAAUCAAAACUUUCAACAACGGAUCUCUUGGUUCUGGCAUCGAUGAAGAACGCAGCGAAAUGCGAUAAGUAAUGUGAAUUGCAGAAUUCAGUGAAUCAUCGAAUCUUUGAACGCACAUUGCGCCCUCUGGUAUUCCGGAGGGCAUGCCUGUUCGAGCGUCAUUUCAACCCUCAAGCCUGGCUUGGUGAUGGGGCACUACUUCCUCACGGGAGUAGGCCCUGAAAUUCAGUGGCGAGCUCGCCAGGACCCCGAGCGUAGUAGUUAUAUCUCGCUUUGGAAGGCCCUGGCGGUGCCCUGCCGUUAAACCCCCAACUUCUGAAAAUUUGACCUCGGAUCAGGUAGGAAUACCCGCUGAACUUAAGCAUAUCAAUAAG